GCGUUCAUAGCUCAGUUGGUUAGAGCACCACCUUGACAUGGUGGGGGUCGUUGGUUCGAGUUCAAUUGAACGCACCA
RNAcentral lists this transfer RNA (77 nucleotides) under Escherichia coli. RNAcentral describes it as "tRNA-Val". It matches the Rfam family "tRNA". Rfam says of the family: Transfer RNA (tRNA) molecules are approximately 80 nucleotides in length. The record is from RNAcentral. Lineage: Bacteria; Pseudomonadati; Pseudomonadota; Gammaproteobacteria; Enterobacterales; Enterobacteriaceae. RNAcentral also lists the same sequence under 2 other names.